UGGGGAAUAUUGGACAAUGGGCGCAAGCCUGAUCCAGCCAUGCCGCGUGUGUGAAGAAGGCCUUCGGGUUGUAAAGCACUUUCAGUGGUGAGGAAGGGGUGCUAGUGAAUAGCUAGCACCAUUGACGUUAGCCAC
This 135-nucleotide ribosomal RNA is filed under the name uncultured bacterium. Its description in RNAcentral is "partial 16S ribosomal RNA". It matches the Rfam family "Bacterial small subunit ribosomal RNA", at positions 355 to 482 of the family's 1533-position model. The record is from RNAcentral.